RNAcentral lists this ribosomal RNA (843 nucleotides) under Peridinium bipes. Its description in RNAcentral is "LSU rRNA". It matches the Rfam family "Eukaryotic large subunit ribosomal RNA", at positions 386 to 1239 of the family's 3401-position model. The record is from RNAcentral. Lineage: Eukaryota; Dinophyceae; Peridiniales; Peridiniaceae.
GGUAACAGUGCUUGAAAUCGCUGAAAAGAAAGUGAGCGAAACCAGCGUGUCUUGGUGAGAUUGCUGUGCUCAGGUGCCAUUGCUUACUGCGCCAGCACGCGUGUGGCAGUAAGUCUUGCGCAGGCUGCGUGUGGUGCGUUUUGCCUUGCCUGUCAACGUCUCCUAUGUUUGAGGAAGACUGCAAGGACAUGGCAGCUCCCCCCAAGGGGGUGAAUAUCUUUGUAUGUACUUAUGCGAGGGGUGCUCGGGAGUAAAUGGCAGCGCUCGACCCGUCUUGAAACACGGACCAAGGAGUCUAACCUGUACGCAAGUUUGAGGGUGGAGAAGGCCUGUGUGCGCAAUGAAAGUGACUGCUGGGAUUUUUUGCACCAGCCACCGACCUAUCAAUUGAGAGAGGUUUGAGUGCGAGCAUAUUUGUUAGGACCCGAAAGAUGGUGAACUACGCCUGUGAAGGGCAAGCUCAGGGGAAACUCUGAUGGAGGCCCAUAGCGAUACUGACGUGCAAAUCGUUCGUCAUACAUGGGUAUAGGGGCGAAAGACUAAUCGAACCAUCUAGUAGCUGGUUCCCUCCGAAGUUUCCCUCAGGAUAGCUGGAGUUGAUCAGUUUUAUCAGGUAAAGCCAAUGACUAGAGGAAUUGGGGACACCUUGUCUUUGACCUAUUCUCAAACUUUAAAUGGGUAGGAUCCAGUGGUUACUUUGAUGAACUUCCGGGAUCAAUGACAACUCGAAGUGGGCCAUUUUUGGUAAGCAGAACUGGCGAUGAGGGAUGAACCUAACAUUGGGUCAAGGUGCUCAACUGCUCGCUCAUCAGAUACCAUAAAGGGUGUUGGUUCAUUUUAACA